Molecule: long non-coding RNA, 761 nt
Organism: Saccostrea cuccullata (small rock oyster)
Lineage: Eukaryota; Metazoa; Mollusca; Bivalvia; Ostreida; Ostreidae
Exons: 4
Source: RefSeq, a predicted model, not a curated record
CCAUUGGGAACUUAUGGUAUAAACUGCACUGGAAGAUGUGUGGAGGGUUUUUACGGAAAACUCUGUAGGUAUGAGUGUUACUGUCCUAUAGAGAGGUGUGAUGUAAGAUAUGGCUGUCAAAUGGAAAGCAUGGGAAAGUACAGAGAGGGUCCUAGUGAGUGGACAAACCUGACGUAUGCCCUGGUUGGAUCUGUAAUUACCAUGAGUCUGAUUGGUCUACUGUUCUAUCUUAGAUCCUGUAGGUUUUCAAGGCCACGUGAUUGUUUUGCUCCGUCUGAUGGGCUCAAUACAGAACCAACUUAAACUCAGAGGGAUGGAUUGGAAUCUCAAGGAAGCUCUUCAUCAGGUGGAGCCGGAAAUGUUGUAUCGAGCACACGUGAACAACCAGAUGUAAAUACUUAUACGGAUUUGAGAUUUUCCAGAAUGCAGUCUCUGUAUGACAGUUCUCCUGACUGUGGAGGUGGAAUAGAACCAACAGCGCCAUCUGUCGACUCCAUUCCAACUCAAGGCUGUAAAGAUCAAAAAGAUAAAGAAGUGAAAGGCAUUGAUGACGAUGACGAUGGUGGAAGUGAUGAUGAAGAUGAUGAUGAUGAUGAACAUGAAGAAGAACAUGAAGAUGAUGAAGGAAAUAAGAGAAAUUUUCAAAAAAUAAAUUAAUAGUUUCUCGUCUUCAAAUGUCACGUGUAAAAUAAAUAAAAUACCAAAAAAGAUACAUUUUUAGAACUUUAAUGGGAAUGUUUAAUACUGUAGGUGAUAUAAGG